This 121-nucleotide non-coding RNA is filed under the name Flavobacterium frigoris. Its description in RNAcentral is "SAM-I sequence". It matches the Rfam family "SAM riboswitch aptamer (S box leader)". From Rfam's summary of the family: The SAM riboswitch is found upstream of a number of genes which code for proteins involved in methionine or cysteine biosynthesis in Gram-positive bacteria. Lineage: Bacteria; Pseudomonadati; Bacteroidota; Flavobacteriia; Flavobacteriales; Flavobacteriaceae. The record is from RNAcentral.
UCGUUAUCACGAAAGGCGGAGGGAAAGACCCAAUGAAACCUUAGCAACCCUUUAUCUUAUAAAGAAGGUGCUACAUUCUACUUUAUGCUGAACUUACUUCAGUAUCUAAGAUAGAUAACAC